UGCCCUUGUAGUAUAGUCCGGUCUAGAAUUCGACCCUGUCACGGUUGAGACGCGUGUUCAAAUCCCGCCGAGGGCGCCUU
This 80-nucleotide transfer RNA is filed under the name Candidatus Nitrosarchaeum limnium BG20. Its description in RNAcentral is "Candidatus Nitrosoarchaeum limnia BG20 tRNA-Asp". It matches the Rfam family "tRNA". Rfam says of the family: Transfer RNA (tRNA) molecules are approximately 80 nucleotides in length. Their secondary structure includes four short double-helical elements and three loops (D, anti-codon, and T loops). The record is from RNAcentral. Lineage: Archaea; Thermoproteati; Nitrososphaerota; Nitrososphaeria; Nitrosopumilales; Nitrosopumilaceae.